UACGAAGUGGGCUAGCGUUGCUCGGAAUCACUGGGCGUAAAGCGCACGUAGGCGGAUUGCUAAGUCAGGGGUGAAAUCCUGGAGCUCAACUCCAGAACUGCCUUUGAUACUGGCAAUCUCGAGUCCGGGAGAGGUGAGUGGAACUGCGAGUGUAGAGGUGAAAUUCGUAGAUAUUCGCAAGAACACCAGUGGCGAAGGCGGCUCACUGGCCCGGUACUGACGCUGAGGUGCGAAAGCGUGGGGAGCAAACAGG
Molecule: ribosomal RNA, 253 nt
Filed under: uncultured bacterium
Lineage: Bacteria
Description: partial 16S ribosomal RNA
Rfam family: Bacterial small subunit ribosomal RNA
Source: RNAcentral